Molecule: long non-coding RNA, 342 nt
Filed under: Elaeis guineensis (African oil palm)
Lineage: Eukaryota; Viridiplantae; Streptophyta; Magnoliopsida; Arecales; Arecaceae
Description: long non-coding RNA (EGUI_LNC036552)
Source: RNAcentral
UCUGGAAGUGCUAGCUCGCGUGAAGACUUUCUAGAUGGUUGAUCUUACUCCUUAUACAGAUCUCUCAGACUCCUUCAAGAAUGAGAAGGAAGGAUAAGGAGGAUCUAAUGAUAGAAAGAAGAAGGAGAGCUCUCUUCUCUCUUUCAUUUUUCUUCACCCAAAAUCCUAAAUCUGAUUUAAGAUGCUCAUCCAAGAGGAGAAGGAUCUCCUUUAAUCUCUCGUGCCUAAGAAAAGCCUCCCACCCUGAUAUCUCAUGCCCUAAGGAACCCUUAACUCAUGGUGAAUUUCUCAUGAAUUUUGUCGCACAAAAUUUUGGUCCUUUUAUGGUUGGCAUCAAGGGAC